Molecule: long non-coding RNA, 853 nt
Organism: Diorhabda carinulata
Lineage: Eukaryota; Metazoa; Arthropoda; Insecta; Coleoptera; Chrysomelidae
Exons: 3
Source: RefSeq, a predicted model, not a curated record
GUACAUUUUUGUUAUUCCAAAUCGUUUUACACUAUAUUAGAUUUUUUUAAAUCGUUUGAUGUUGUUUCGUAUUAUUCUAGGUCGUUUUAGAAACGAUUCAGUACAUUUUUGGAAUAUUUGGGAUCGUUCUGGUUCGUUUUGAGGACCUAAUUCAUCAAUCUGGAUCAUUCUAGAACGUUGUAGAAACUUCCAGAUCGUUUUUUCAACUGUAUAAGUCGAUUUAUAUCGUCCUGGUACAUUUUUGUUAUUCCAAAUCGUUUUACACUAUAUUAGAUUUUUUUAAAUCGUUUGAUGUUGUUUCGUAUUAUUCUAGGUCGUUUUAGAAACGAUUCAGUACAUUUUUGGAAUAUUUGGGAUCGUUCUGGUUCGUUUUGAGGACCUAAUUCAUCAAUCUGGAUCAUUCUAGAACGUUGUAGAAACUUCCAGAUCGUUUUUUCAACUGUAUAAGUCGAUUUAUAUCGUCCUGGUACAUUUUUGUUAUUCCAAAUCGUUUUACACUAUAUUAGAUUUUUUUAAAUCGUUUGAUGUUGUUUCGUAUUAUUCUAGGUCGUUUUAGAAACGAUUCAGUACAUUUUUGGAAUAUUUGGGAUCGUUCUGGUUCGUUUUGAGGACCUAAUUCAUCAAUCUGGAUCAUUCUAGAACGUUGUAGAAACUUCUAGAUCGUUUUUAGAAUUGUAUACGUCGAUUUAUAUCGUCCUGGUACAUUUUUGUUAUUCCAAAUCGUUUUACACUAUAUUAGAUUUUUUUAAAUCGUUUGAUGUUGUUUCGUAUUAUUCUAGGUCGUUUUAGAAACGAUUCAGUACAUUUUUGGAAUAUUUGGGAUCGUUCUGGUUCGUUUUGAGGACCUAAUUCA